CUGGUAAAAGUCGCUUGCUUCAACAGUAGGUACCAUAUGAAUCUGCAGUGCCUUGGGUCCAUAAAAUGUCAAAUGUGUCAAUGGAUAAACCUUUAAGACAUCAAUUCUGACAAGACCUCCCCAAAAUAGUGAGUAUCCAUUCAAGCCAUUCCCUUUGAUUUCACCAUUUCUCUCAUGAGAAGUUACCUGAGCAUUCCAAUAAUAAUCAAAGUGAAGUUGUUCAAGGAAGUUUUAAUGAUGAAGAAAAAAGGAGAAAAAGAAAAA
This is a long non-coding RNA of Telopea speciosissima, 264 nucleotides long. RefSeq lists it as uncharacterized. The transcript is spliced from 2 exons. NCBI's taxonomy places the organism in Eukaryota, Viridiplantae, Streptophyta, Magnoliopsida, Proteales, Proteaceae. The record is from RefSeq and is a predicted model, not a curated record.